AACUCGGGCAACUUCCUGCACGGCGGCGCGACAGGGUCGCUGCUUGACUUGGUGGGCUCUGCUGUCUUCUACACCACUGUGGCACAAACCAGGGGCUUGCCACUAGGGAUAAACGUCUCCUACCUGGAUGCGGCAUUUUCGAAUGUAGAGAUUGAUAUCGGAGCCAAGGUGCGCGCCGUAAAAGCAGUAGGAGUGGCUACUGCGGAACUGAAGAAAAAAUCUGGCAGAAUCAUCGCUCAGGCCCGCUAUUCCAAGUAUAUUGGUGCAUCUAGUAGACUGAAGGCGACCCUGCCAUGUAAGUUGUAA
RNAcentral lists this ribosomal RNA (306 nucleotides) under Triticum aestivum (bread wheat). Its description in RNAcentral is "partial small subunit ribosomal RNA". The record is from RNAcentral. Lineage: Eukaryota; Viridiplantae; Streptophyta; Magnoliopsida; Poales; Poaceae.